UCGCCUGUUAACAAAAAUAAUCUUUAAACGUGGGUUUGUGAACUUUGUCUUGCCAGCUGUCGUAUUUGAGUUGAAGGGCCCCGGUAUUUUUACCGAAAAAAGAUGGCAUAGUCGGUAUCUUUUUACGUUCGAUGGGGUAUGAAUGGCUAGCCGUGACAUGGGCUGUCCUUGGUAUCAGAAUAAGUUGCGGAAUUUUGAGUCUAAGUAAAAAUUCUUUUAUGUUAGUAUGGGACGUGAUGACCCUAUAGUAAUUAGCAUUAAUCCAAGACUAUGUGCAAGUUUGUUUCAAAGUAAACAUUGAAACAGUGGCAUGUGUUGUUGGGAUUGUUUGUUUAAAUGUAGGCAUGAAAUUGGAUUUGGUUGUAAUGU
RNAcentral lists this ribosomal RNA (369 nucleotides) under Odontotermes sp. AP-2014. Its description in RNAcentral is "partial large subunit ribosomal RNA". Lineage: Eukaryota; Metazoa; Arthropoda; Insecta; Blattodea; Termitidae. The record is from RNAcentral.